RNAcentral lists this ribosomal RNA (497 nucleotides) under uncultured bacterium. Its description in RNAcentral is "partial 16S ribosomal RNA". It matches the Rfam family "Bacterial small subunit ribosomal RNA", at positions 28 to 507 of the family's 1533-position model. The record is from RNAcentral.
GAUGAACGCUGGCGGCGUGCCUAAUACAUGCAAGUCGAGCGAACAGACGAGGAGCUUGCUCCUCUGACGUUAGCGGCGGACGGGUGAGUAACACGUGGAUAACCUACCUAUAAGACUGGGAUAACUUCGGGAAACCGGAGCUAAUACCGGAUAAUAUAUUGAACCGCAUUGUUCAAUAGUGAAAGACGGUUUUGCUGUCACUUAUAGCUGGAUCCGCGCCGCAGUAGCUAGUUGGUAAGGUAACGGCUUACCAAGGCGACGAUGCGUAGCCGACCUGAGAGGGUGAUCGGCCAAACUGGAACGGAGACACGGUCAAGACUCCUACGGGAGGCAGCAGUAGGGAAUCUUCCGCAAUGGGCGAAAGCCUGACGGAGCAACGCCGCGUGAGUGAUGAAGGUCUUCGGAUCGUAAAACUCUGUUAUUAGGGAAGAAUAAAGGUGUAAGUAACUAUGCACGUCUUGACGGUACCUAAUCAGAAAGCCACGGCUAACUACGUG